GGGGAUUUGGCUCAGUGGUAGAGCGCUUGCCUAGGAAGCGCAAGGUCCUGGGUUCGGUCCCUAGCCCCG
This is a non-coding RNA of Rattus norvegicus (Norway rat), 69 nucleotides long. Lineage: Eukaryota; Metazoa; Chordata; Mammalia; Rodentia; Muridae. The record is from Rfam.